UACGUAGGGGGCAAGCGUUGUCCGGAAUUAUUGGGCGUAAAGAGCGUGUAGGCGGUCCGGUAAGUCAGCUGUGAAAGUCAAGGGCUCAACCCUUGAAAGCCGGUUGAUACUGUCGGGCUAGAGUCCGGAAGAGGCGAGUGGAAUUCCCGGUGUAGCGGUGAAAUGCGCAGAUAUCGGGAGGAACACCAAUGGCGAAGGCAGCUCGCUGGGACGGUACUGACGCUGAGGAGCGAAAGCGUGGGGAGCGAUCCGG
This 253-nucleotide ribosomal RNA is filed under the name uncultured bacterium. RNAcentral's name for it is "partial 16S ribosomal RNA". It matches the Rfam family "Bacterial small subunit ribosomal RNA", at positions 524 to 776 of the family's 1533-position model. The record is from RNAcentral.